RNAcentral lists this ribosomal RNA (468 nucleotides) under uncultured bacterium. Its description in RNAcentral is "partial 16S ribosomal RNA". It matches the Rfam family "Bacterial small subunit ribosomal RNA", at positions 28 to 507 of the family's 1533-position model. The record is from RNAcentral.
GACGAACGCUGGCGGCGUGCUUAACACAUGCAAGUCGAACGGAAAGGCCCUGCUUUUGUGGGGUGCUCGAGUGGCGAACGGGUGAGUAACACGUGAGUAACCUGCCCUUGACUUUGGGAUAACUUCAGGAAACUGGGGCUAAUACCGGAUAGGAGCUCCUGCUGCAUGGUGGGGGUUGGAAAGUUUCGGCGGUUGGGGAUGGACUCGCGGCUUAUCAGCUUGUUGGUGGGGUAGUGGCUUACCAAGGCUUUGACGGGUAGCCGGCCUGGGAGGGGGACCGGCCACAUUGGGACUGAGAUACGGCCCAGACUCCUACGGGAGGCAAGAGUGGGGAAUAUUGCACAAUGGGCGGAAGCCUGAUGCAGCAACGCCGCGUGCGGGAUGACGGCCUGCGGGUUGUAAACCGCUUUCGCCUGUGACGAAGCGUGAGUGACGGUAAUGGAUAAAGAAGCACCGGCUAACUACGUG